UGGACCUUCUGACAGAGCAACAAGUGCUCUUAACCACAGGAGCGUCUCUCCAGUCUACCUAAUAAUUUAAAAUAUCUGUCCUUGGCUAAAAAGAUGGCUCAAUGGGUAAGGGUUCUUGUCACCAAGCCUGAUGAUGGUCUAAGUUUUAUCCUUGGGAUCCACAUGGUGGAAGGAGACAGUUGCUUCAAGUUGUCCUCUGGCCUUCAUAUAUGUGCUGUGGCAUGCAUGAUUGCCUAUCACUGCCAUGACAAGAGACACCAUCCCUCAGAAGAUAGAUGUCAGGAAGAGCAUGUGGUGAGUGGCAUCGGGAUGUGCAUGUGGGGACACUUACCCUGAUGGUCUCAGAGACAAUAACUGUUGGGUGAGCAAAGGACAUGCUUACGGGGAGUUCUCUUUUCUGUUGAAACUCGGUUCCAAAACUGGGUGUGCAGCUGUAAUCCCAGCACUUGGGACAUGGAGACAGGAAAAUCAAAAGUUCAAGGUUCUUCUCGGGCACAAAGGUCUCCUGUGCCUCAGACUGGCCUUGAAGUUUCUAUACAGCAGAGGGGAUAACGUUGAAUUUCUGAUCCCAUGUCUUCACCUCCUGAGUGACAGGAUUACAGGUGUGCCUCACUGCAUGUGAUUUCUGGGGCACUGGGGAUGGGAAACGGGACUUCAUGCAAACCAACUGAGUUACCUCCCAAGGCAAUGUUGAUAGUCAUGAGACCAGAAAAUAUACAGAUGAGGAAACUGGUAUGUUAAGGAAGCCGUGAGGCUAUUUGACAUAUAUUUCCCCUAAAAUAUUUUUGAAAACAAGAAAAUAUGAAAAUUCACCCAAAAGUUUAACAUUGAAGAUAUUAUCCAGAAAGUCAAAAGUAACCAAGAAAAGGAAGCAAUGGACCACCAAGAAGGCUCAGUGGGUACAGGCGCUUGCUACGAAGCCUGACCCAUAGACUCAUAUUCAAAGGCAGGAGGAGGUAUUCACAGGUUAGCAUGGCACAGGAGACAAAGAGCUAAAAUAUAAAAUGAUAGCAAAGUAGCUUAAGAAAAUUGGGCAUCACCCUUCCUGCCUCCUUAGGAUACCUGUAAGAAGGAGGCAAGCACGUUUGUGUAAGUGGCUUUAGGACGGGAG
RNAcentral lists this long non-coding RNA (1111 nucleotides) under Cricetulus griseus (Chinese hamster). Its description in RNAcentral is "lncRNA (ENSCGRG00015034124.1)". Lineage: Eukaryota; Metazoa; Chordata; Mammalia; Rodentia; Cricetidae. The record is from RNAcentral.